This 425-nucleotide ribosomal RNA is filed under the name uncultured bacterium. RNAcentral describes it as "partial 16S ribosomal RNA". It matches the Rfam family "Bacterial small subunit ribosomal RNA", at positions 354 to 796 of the family's 1533-position model. The record is from RNAcentral.
GUGGGGAAUCUUAGACAAUGGGGGAAACCCUGAUCUAGCCAUGCCGCGUGAUCGAUGAAGGCCUUAGGGUUGUAAAGAUCUUUCAGGUGGGAAGAUAAUGACUGUACCACCAGAAGAAGCCCCGGCUAACUCCGUGCCAGCAGCCGCGGUAAUACGGAGGGGGCUAGCGUUGUUCGGAAUUACUGGGCGUAAAGCGCACGUAGGCGGAUUGGAAAGUUGGGGGUGAAAUCCCGGGGCUCAACCCCGGAACUGCCUUCAAAACUCCCGGUCUUGAGUUCGAGAGAGGUGAGUGGAAUUCCGAGUGUAGAGGUGAAAUUCGUAGAUAUUCGGAGGAACACCAGUGGCGAAGGCGGCUCACUGGCUCGAUACUGACGCUGAGGUGCGAAAGCGUGGGGAGCAAACAGGAUUAGAAACCCUUGUAGUCC